UACGGGGGGAGCAAACGUUGUUCGGAAUCACUGGGCGUAAAGGGCGUGUAGGCGGCUGGAUAAGUGGGAUGUUAAAUCCCCCGGCUCAACCGGGGACCUGCAUCUCAUACUGUUCAGCUCGAGCACAUCAGAGGAGACUGGAAUUCCACGUGUAGCAGUGAAAUGCGUAGAGAUGUGGAGGAAUACCGAUGGCGAAGGCAGCCCCCUGGGCCAAUACUGACGCUCAUGUACGAAAGCGUGGGGAGCAAACAGG
This 253-nucleotide ribosomal RNA is filed under the name uncultured bacterium. Its description in RNAcentral is "partial 16S ribosomal RNA". It matches the Rfam family "Bacterial small subunit ribosomal RNA", at positions 524 to 776 of the family's 1533-position model. The record is from RNAcentral.